UGGCGGACGGGUGAGUAACGCGUGGGUAACCUGCCUCAUACAGGGGGAUAACAGUUAGAAAUGACUGCUAAUACCGCAUAAGACCACAGCACCGCAUGGUGCAGGGGUAAAAACUCCGGUGGUAUGAGAUGGACCCGCGUCUGAUUAGGUAGUUGGUGGGGUAACGGCCUACCAAGCCGACGAUCAGUAGCCGACCUGGGAGGGUGACCGGCCACAUUGGGACUGAGACACGGCCCAA
This 238-nucleotide ribosomal RNA is filed under the name uncultured bacterium. RNAcentral's name for it is "partial 16S ribosomal RNA". It matches the Rfam family "Bacterial small subunit ribosomal RNA", at positions 96 to 334 of the family's 1533-position model. The record is from RNAcentral.